RNAcentral lists this ribosomal RNA (511 nucleotides) under uncultured bacterium. RNAcentral describes it as "bacterial SSU rRNA". It matches the Rfam family "Bacterial small subunit ribosomal RNA", at positions 30 to 528 of the family's 1533-position model. The record is from RNAcentral.
AUUGAACGCUAGCGACAGGCUUAACACAUGCAAGUCGAGGGGCAGCAUAAAAGUAGCAAUACUUUGGUGGCGACCGGCGCACGGGUGAGUAACGCGUAUGCAACCUACCUAUCAGAGGGGGAUAACCCGGCGAAAGUCGGACUAAUACCGCAUAAAACAGGGGCACCGCAUGGUGAUAUUUGUUAAAAAUUUAAUUGCUGAUAGAUGGGCAUGCGUUCCAUUAGGUAGUUGGAGAGGUAACGGCUCACCAAGCCUACGAUGGAUAGGGGAACUGAGAGGUUGGUCCCCCACACUGGUACUGAGACACGGACCAGACUCCUACGGGAGGCAGCAGUGAGGAAUAUUGGUCAAUGGGCGAGAGCCUGAACCAGCCAAGUCGCGUGAAGGAAGAAGGAUCUAUGGUUCGUAAACUUCUUUUUGCAGGGGAAUAAAGUGCAGGACGUGUCCUGUUUUGUAUGUACCCUGAGAAUAAGGAUCGGCUAACUCCGUGCCAGCAGCCGCGGUAAAGUAG